This 74-nucleotide transfer RNA is filed under the name Neofusicoccum parvum UCRNP2. RNAcentral describes it as "tRNA-Met (CAT) (tRNA-Met-CAT-1 1 to 3)". It matches the Rfam family "tRNA". Rfam says of the family: Transfer RNA (tRNA) molecules are approximately 80 nucleotides in length. The record is from RNAcentral. Lineage: Eukaryota; Fungi; Ascomycota; Dothideomycetes; Botryosphaeriales; Botryosphaeriaceae.
GUCUCUGUGGUCUAGUCGGUUAUGACGUCGGUCUCAUAAUCCGAAGGUCCGCAGUUCGAUUCUGCGUAGGGACA